UAUUACUGUGGUUCUAAUCUCUCCACUGCUCUUGAUGGAAUCACUGGUCCAGCUAUCCGGGUGUUGUAACUCCCGACCCUUCCUGUCAGUCCAGCAUCUUCUGAUGGAACGGCUUGUAGCGGUUACUGGGAAAAGGAUGGAAGAGGAAAUGGUCCACAAUCAUUGAGAGAUAUCAGCAAACCCAGGCUCUUCGCUGGAAACUCAGCUUGUAAGGUGGAGGCAGUGGCAGAGGAUGAAACAAGGAGUCUCAAGGAUGGCUUCCCAGGAAGAAACAUGCUCCAACUCAGUCCAAGGAUGAGAACCCUGACAAAAGAUCUACUAAUACAUUGCUAACGUCAUCCUCAAUUACCUAGUUGCUGCAUAUCUCCAGCUCAGCACAUUUUAAACCAGGAGAAAACUACCGAGAUCAAACCAUCUCGUGCCUUUUGACACAUCGGCAUAACAGCAUUAUUCAGGACAACUGCAUUAUUCAGAACUCCAAUUCAUUGACUCAUUUUCCAGCGAGACCUCAUUUGUGGCUCUGCCUUUAAGUUAUGCUCCAAAAAGAAC
RNAcentral lists this long non-coding RNA (549 nucleotides) under Ornithorhynchus anatinus (platypus). RNAcentral describes it as "lncRNA (ENSOANG00000050264.1)". The record is from RNAcentral. Lineage: Eukaryota; Metazoa; Chordata; Mammalia; Monotremata; Ornithorhynchidae.